ACGGUAACAGCAGAGCUUGCUCUGGCUGACGAGUGGCGCACGGGUGAGUAAUAGAUAGAUAAUGUACCCCUUAGUCUGGGAUAGCCACUGGAAACGGUGAUUAAUACUGGAUACGCCUUUUUAGCGUAAGCUAAUUUGGGAAAGGUCUUUCGCUAAGGGAUCAGUCUAUCUCCCAUCAGUUAGUUGGUGAGGUAAGAGCUCACCAAGACGAUGACGGGUAGCGGGUUUGAGAGGAUGAUCCGCCACACUGGAACUGAGACACGGUCCAGACUCCUACGGGAGGCAGCAGUGAGGAAUAUUGCACAAUGGGGGGAACCCUGAUGCAGCAACGCCGCGUGGAGGAUGACGCAUUUCGGUGUGUAAACUCCUUUUAUCAGAGAAGAACAUGACGGUAUCUGAUGAAUAAGCUCCGGCUAACUCCGUGCCAGCAGCCGCGGUAAUACGGAGGGAGCAAGCGUUAUUCGGAAUCACUGGGCGUAAAGGACGCGUAGGCGGGUUAGUAAGUCAGGUGUGAAAUCCUACAGCUCAACUGUAGAACUGCACUUGAAACUACUGACCUAGAGUAUGGAAGGGGCAGAUGGAAUUAGUGGUGUA
This 594-nucleotide ribosomal RNA is filed under the name uncultured bacterium. RNAcentral's name for it is "bacterial SSU rRNA". It matches the Rfam family "Bacterial small subunit ribosomal RNA", at positions 66 to 677 of the family's 1533-position model. The record is from RNAcentral.